This 196-nucleotide ribosomal RNA is filed under the name uncultured bacterium. RNAcentral describes it as "partial 16S ribosomal RNA". It matches the Rfam family "Bacterial small subunit ribosomal RNA", at positions 1302 to 1500 of the family's 1533-position model. The record is from RNAcentral.
AGGCUGCAACUCGCCUGCAUGAAGUCGGAAUUGCUAGUAAUCGCGGAUCAGCAUGCCGCGGUGAAUACGUUCCCGGGCCUUGUACACACCGCCCGUCACACCAUGGGAGUCGGUAACACCCGAAGCCGAUAGUCUAACGAAAGAGGACGUCGUGAAGGUGGGAUUGAUGACUGGGGUGAAGUCGUAACAAGGUAUC